This 472-nucleotide ribosomal RNA is filed under the name uncultured bacterium. Its description in RNAcentral is "bacterial SSU rRNA". It matches the Rfam family "Bacterial small subunit ribosomal RNA", at positions 355 to 825 of the family's 1533-position model. The record is from RNAcentral.
UGGGGAAUUUUGGGCAAUGGGCGAAAGCCUGACCCAGCAACGCCGCGUGCAGGAUGAAGGCCCUCGGGUCGUAAACUGCUGUCGGGAGGGAAGAAAAGCAGCGGGAGGAAAUGACCGCUGCCUGACGGUACCUCCAAAGGAAGCGCCGGCUAACUCCGUGCCAGCAGCCGCGGUAAUACGGAGGGCGCAAGCGUUGUUCGGAAUUACUGGGCGUAAAGCGCGUGUAGGCGGUCUGGCAAGUCGGUUGUGAAAUCCCCGGGCUCAACCCGGGAACUGCAUCCGAAACUUCCAGGCUAGAGUUUCGGAGAGGAAGGCAGAAUUCCCAAUGUAGGGGUGAAAUCCGUAGAUAUUGGGAGGAAUACCAGUGGCGAAGGCGGCCUUCUGGACGAUGACUGACGCUGAGACGCGAAAGCGUGGGGAGCAAACAGGAUUAGAUACCCAAGUAGUCCCUGAGCGGGCUGGCAAGGCGCAU